RNAcentral lists this ribosomal RNA (465 nucleotides) under uncultured bacterium. Its description in RNAcentral is "bacterial SSU rRNA". It matches the Rfam family "Bacterial small subunit ribosomal RNA", at positions 331 to 794 of the family's 1533-position model. The record is from RNAcentral.
CCAGACUCCUACGGGAGGCAGCAGUGAGGAAUAUUGGUCAAUGGCCGAGAGGCUGAACCAGCCAAGUCGCGUGAGGGAUGACGGCCCUACGGGUUGUAAACCUCUUUUGCCGGGGAGCAAAGAGCGGGACGCGUCCCGCCUCGAGAGUACCCGGAGAAAAAGCAUCGGCUAACUCCGUGCCAGCAGCCGCGGUAAUACGGAGGAUGCGAGCGUUAUCCGGAUUUAUUGGGUUUAAAGGGUGCGUAGGCGGGUUGUUAAGUCCGGGUUAAAAGCCGGGGGCUCACCCCGGGCGAGCCGUUGAAACUGGCUGUCUUGAGAUGUCGAGAGGUAUGCGGAAUGCGCAGUGUAGCGGUGAAAUGCAUAGAUAUCACGCAGAACGCCGAUUGCGAAGGCAGCUUACCGGCGCUCAACUGACGCUGAGGCACGAAAGUGCGGGUAUCGAACAGGAUUAGAUACCCCAGUAUA